RNAcentral lists this long non-coding RNA (4415 nucleotides) under Brassica napus (rape). RNAcentral's name for it is "long non-coding RNA (BNAP_LNC024391)". The record is from RNAcentral. Lineage: Eukaryota; Viridiplantae; Streptophyta; Magnoliopsida; Brassicales; Brassicaceae.
UAUUAAAUCACAAGGUUUGAUAAGAAGUCCUUCUCUUAUUUAAUAUCAAAAGCUCAAUCACAAAGUCACACACUUAUCUCAUCACACGAUAUGUCUAUUUAUAUCACAUAGACAAUAUCCUAUUCCUAGUUGAUAAGCCUCAAUAUUAUGAUCAUUAUCCAAAACACACAAAUCAUAAUUCAACUAGGAAAACAUAUAACUUGUCUCUUAGGGUUUCUUCAAGCUAUAACUCCAACAUACUCCCCCUUAAGCUUGAACUCACUCACAUCCUUAAUUCCAAUCAAACUUCUCAUUUGCACGAACUUAGUCCUUCCAAGCGGCUUGGUCAGUAUGUCAGCUUUCUGCUCACUGCCAGGUACAUGCUCAACCUCAACCAGUUCAUUCUCAACGCAUUCUCGUAUAAAAUGGAACCUCCUAUGUAUGUGUUUACUUCGGCCGUGAAACACAGGAUUCCUUGCAAGUUGUAUCGCAGAUUUGUUGUCAACUCUAAUGAUCACCCGUAUGCAAACUUCAUUCAUGACUUCACUCAGAAACUCUUCAAGCCACACGGCUUGUUUUGCAGCUUCAGUAGCCGCCAUAAACUCUGCUUCACAACUCGACAAAGCCACUAUCUCUUGCUUAGUAGAACACCAGGUUAUAGGACUGUUUCCCAAAUAAAAAAUAUGUCCACUCGUGCUCUUACCAUCAUCUUUAUCCAGGUUAUGUGAGCUGUCACUGUAACCAACCAGUUUCACAUCUUUUUCCCGAUAGAAUCGUAGUCCAAGAUUACAUGUGCCCCGUAAGUACCUCAAAACUUGUUUCAAUGCGGCUCCAUGAGAUUCUCUUGGCUCCUGCAUAUACCUGCUCAGUACACCAACACUGAAGGAGAGGUCUGGUCGUGUGUGUAGCAAAUAACGCAGACAGCCAAUACUGCGACGGUAAGCCUUCUCGUCAACUCUCUUCUCAUCUGAUGCUUUAGACAGGCUUGAGUUCAUCUCCAUAGGUAUGUGUGUAGGGUUACACGAAGCCAUGCCUGUUUCCUCUAGUAUCUUGAGUGCAUAUCGGUUUUUCUUUAAGGUAAUUCCAUUUUCUCCUUGACAAACUUCUAUACCCAAGUAGUAAGUCAACAUCCCAAGAUCACUCAUCUCAAAUUUGGUGGCCAUCUCUUGCUUAAAUCCUUCUAUCAGUUCAAGUGAUGAUCCCGUAACCAGCAGGUCAUCUACGUAUACGAACACAAGAAGAAUAUUAUUGCAUACUUCCUUACGAUAAAGCGAUGGCUCCUUCAAGCAUCGAUGGAACUUCAGACCUCGCACUAAUAUGCGAUUUAACUUCAGAUUCCAAGCUCUUGGUGCUUGACGCAGUCCAUAAAGAGCCUUCUUAAGUUUGUAUACCUUGCUCUCUUGGCCUUUGACAAUAAACCCUUGUGGCUGACUCACAUAUACUUCUUCUCUCAGGUCACCAUGAAGGAACGCGGUUUUGACAUCUAGAUGAUGUAUCAUCCAACCUUUUGAAGCAGCUAACCCAAUAAUCAGGCGUAUGGUCUCAAUACGAGCCACAGGAGCGAAGACCUCAUCAUAAUCAAUGCCGUGUUUUUGCACAUACCCUUUUGCCACCAAACGAGCCUUGAAUUUAUUGAUGCUUCCAUCUGCGUUUCGCUUGACCUUAAAGACCCACUUGAGACCAAUCGGCUUGGCUCCUAUAGGUAAGUCAACGAGGUCCCAAGUUUUAUUUUCUUCUAUCGAAGUGAUCUCGUCUUUACAUGCAUCUACCCAUACCUUUAGCCUUGAUGCUUCAUCAUAAUCCCACGGUUCUUCAUUUACUAUCAUCAAGAGCCGUUCACUUUCGAUCUCACACAACAAAAUGUAGUCCUCAAGGUAGGCGGGUUUAGUACUUACACGCUGUGAUCUCCUUGGUUGUUGAUGAUCAUCUUCUUCAGAGCCUUCAUCAUGAGCUGAUUCACUGUCGUUCUCCUCUUCUGCUGUCGUUUCAUUAUCAUCACCGACUGCAUUGUUUUCACUUUCAUCAGUAUUGCCAUUCGAUCCAAGGUUCACAAUAAAUUCCCCAGGCUCUGUGUGCUCUGUUUCAUCUUUCUCGUACCAGUUCCAUUCCUUUUCCUCAGUGAAGUGGACAUCACGGCUUACACGUAUCUUCUUUGUACUAGGGUCGAGUAAGCGAUAUGCUUUUGACCCUGGUUCUGUUCCCAAGUGAACCAGUUUUCUUGAUCUAUCAUCAAGUUUUCUCCUUCCUGGUGCUUCUGUUCUCGCAUAGCACACGCAUCCAAACACCUUUAUAUGGCUAACAUUUGGCUUUCGAGAUCGUAGCAUCUCGUAUGGAGUCUUGCCAUCCAAAGUCUUUGUCGCUAGUCGAUUGAUCAGGUACGUGGAGUGUCUCACAGCUUCUCCCCAUAGCUCGUUUGGAACACUCAUAUGCUUCAACAAACUCCUUGUCAUCUCCAGAAGCGUGCGGUUGCGUCUCUCAACAACGCCAUUCUGUUGAGGGGAGUACGGUGCUGUUAAGUGUCGUUGAAUGCCAUUAGUUUCACAGUAGACACUGAACUCUUGAGAUAUAAACUCUCCCCCCCUGUCUGUUCUCAACAUCUUGAUUUGGUUUUCUGUUUCUAGCUCGAUCAUCCUUUUGAAGGAUUUAAACUUCUCGAAUGCCUCACUUUUUUCUCUUAGUAACACGGUCCACAUAUACCGAGUAUGAUCAUCAAUAAACACCAGUACAUAUCUCUUCUGAGCAGGUGUUGACGGUGAUAUUGGACCACACAAGUCUCCAUGAAUCAGCUCAAGUGGACUCGAUGCACGGAAGUUUGUUGUUUUUGGGAAAGGUUUUCUUGCCUGAUUUCCAAGUAAGCAGGACUCACAGGUUUCUUUCUUGAUCGUAACAUUCGGUAAUCCAUCAACAAAGUCCCUUUUCACCAUUAGCUUCAGUGUUUGGAGAUUAACAUGUCCAAGUCGAGCAUGCCACAAGCUUGACUCCGUUGCAGAUUUUAUUUGCAGACAUUGAACUGUAUCAACAGACAAAACUACCUUGUAGAGCCGACUUGGCGAUCGUGUAGUCUGGACCAUGAGAUCUCCACGUUUAUCAAACAAGCUAAGUGUGUUGUUUUUCAUACGAACCUCACAACCUACCUCAGUAGCUUGCCCCAAGCUUAUGAUAUUGCUCUUUAGGCCAGGGAUGUAGUAAACAUUGCUCAAGAUUUUCUUCUCUCCUCCUUCGAAAACAAAGCGUAUAGAACCUUUACCUCUUAUAUCAAUUCGAGAAUCGUCACCAAACCUUACUUUCCCGGUCACAGUUUCAUCAAGUUUGAUAAAAAACAAUCGUUCUCCACACAUAUGGUUUGAAGCUCCAUUGUCAAGGUACCAUACCUUCUCUGUAUCAUGACUAGAUUCAAAUAUAGAAGGAUUUACCUUCCUCUCAUUGAGAUAAACUAUCUCAUGUACCAUUAAUUCAUCAUCUUCCUCAGUGUCAUCAUCAUUUUUUUUUUCAACAUUCUCUUGGACUUGCAGCAGUUUAUCUGGACAAUCACUAGCAUAGUGACCCUGUUUGUCACAGCUGAAGCAAGUUAUAUGAGAAUUAUCUCUGCCUCGUCCUUGCUUAUAUGCAUCUCUUUGCGCAGAGAACGUUCCAGAACGGCCACGGCCUCUACCUCUCCAUGUAGAACGUCCGCCACGUCCCCUGCCUCUGCCAUAUGAAUCAGAGAUUGCGUACAUCAGUUUGUCCUUGUCAUCUUGUGCGCUUUCUUCUUCAUCUUCUUCAUUGAUCCUCUCUUCAAAGGCUUUUAACCGUCCAACAAUAUCCUCAAAAGUUGUUGUGUUGAGAUCCAGAAACUGUUCUAGAGAAGCAACCAUGUGGAUAUAGCUCUUCCUAGGUAAGCUUUUAAGAAAUUUCUUAACAAGCUUUGUCUCUUCCAUUAUCAUUCCCAAAGAUGCAGCCUUUGAUGAGAUUUCCGAUAGUUUACCAGAGAAUGUAUCAAUAGUAUCUUCAUCUUUCAUCUUUAGUUUAUCAAACUCUACCAUUAGGGUUUGGAGUCUAGCCUCCUUUACCCUUUCAGCCCCAACAUACCUAGCUUUUAUUGCCUCCCAUAUUUCCUUAGCUGUCGACAUGUCGCCAACUUGGAGUGUCAACACUUCAGGUAUAGAUUGGCAUAUGAGUACCAUAGCUAGGUUAUUUUUCUUCUCGUCUUUGUUUCCCGGAUCAAUUGUUUCCCAUACUUCAUUAACCUUAAGUGCGAGCUUCAUUCUCAUGGACCAGACGGUAUAGUUUGAAGAAGUUAACAUUGGAUAUUUGAUGGAGGAUGUUCCAAUACCUUUAGUCGCAAUUGUUUCUUCUUUUACAUCUGCCAUGAUUGUUGAACUUAGAUCUCAAGCUUUAAACCCUUAAGGCUCUGAUACCACGUAUUAAAUCACAAGGUUUGAUAAGAAGUCCUUCUC